Molecule: long non-coding RNA, 754 nt
Filed under: Sorghum bicolor (sorghum)
Lineage: Eukaryota; Viridiplantae; Streptophyta; Magnoliopsida; Poales; Poaceae
Description: long non-coding RNA (SBIC_LNC006166)
Source: RNAcentral
UGUAUAUGUACAAAAAAUAAUAUACAUACAUACAAAAAAUAAUACAUAUAUACAAAAAAUAAAACAUACAUACAUACUAUAUAUAUAUAUACUAGAAUAAUAUAUUAAAAAAUAAUACAUACAUACAUACAAACAAUUAUAAUUCAUACAUACAAACUAUAUGUGUGUGUGUAUAUGUACAAAAAAUAAUAUACAUACAUACAAAAAAUAAUACAUAUAUAAAAAAAAAUAAAACAUACAUACAUACUAUAUAUAUACUAGAAUAAUAUAUUAAAAAAAUAAUACAUACAUACAAACAAACAAUUAUAAUUCAUACAUACAAACUAUAUAUGUGUGUAUAUGUACAAAAAAUAAUAUACAUACAUACAAAAAAUAAUACAUAUAUACAAAAAAUAAAACAUACAUACAUACUAUAUAUAUACUAGAAUAAUAUAUUAAAAAAAUAAUACAUACAUACAUACAAACAAUUAUAAUUCAUACAUACAAACUAUAUAUAUGUGUGUGUAUAUGUACAAAAAAUAAUAUACAUACAUACAAAAAAUAAUACAUAUAUACAAAAAAUAAAACAUACAUACAUACUAUAUAUAUACUAGAAUAAUAUAUUAAAAAAAUAAUACAUACAUACAUACAAACAAUUAUAAGUCAUACAUACAAACUAUAUAUAUGUGUGUAUAUAUGUACAAAAAAUAAUAUACAUAUAUACAAAAAAUAUUACAUAUAUAUACAUAAAAAUAUAUACAAAAAAUAAUACUAC